CGGUGACUUAUUUUUUUUACUCCCGUAUUAUCACAUACAGUUUCUAAAAUAUGGAAGGUGACAAUAAAUACGUGUUAGAAAAAGUAAGUCCCAUCAAUAUUUUUCUAACUACUGUAUAUACUCACUAGCCAUAUUGUGCAUAAUAUAUAGAGAUUGUAGUUAGAUUUUACUUGGCACUUUUUCUUUACUAGAGUUCAACUCUUCCAGAUGAAUUGAUCACAUCCAGAGAUUUAUGGAGUCUUAACCCAGCAUCCUCCAUCCCAGGAGACAAAUGCCACCACCCACCUUCCUUUUGCCUUCUAAUAAUUGAAGAACUGCAUUCUCACUAACCACUACUAUCCUAAAUUACUCAGUUAAGGUCUAGGAAUCUGUGGGAAAAUUAUCUUAUACUCUUAAUUAUACGGUCCCAGAAAAUUAAAAAAACUCAGUCAGUUGAAUGAGAAUCACUGCUUAAGGGUUGGCGUUUGGGAAGGUCAGGAUUCUUCGGAGAUUGUGCUAACAUUGAAUACAUUAUCCUCAAGAUGUCUGAAGGGGAGUGGGUAAAAAGAGAGAGGAGGAGUCUCACUGAAGAUUGGGAAAAAAUAUGAUCACAUUUAUUUUUGUAACUAUCCCUUUAAAACAUCUAAUUUUUAAUACACGAGUGCUAAAAUAUGUGAUUAAUAAACUUAAAAAAUUAACAAGAGAGCGCAAGAACUCCUACUGGUAAUAUACACUAUCAAAAUGUUUGCAAACUACUAUCUGACCUAUUGUAGUAUAGAGCUGACUUUCUUUUUGAACUAAAAAAUUCGAACAUAUCUUUACAGUCAAAGUCUGACUUACUCCCAUGUGAAUACAUUUCCUUUGUUUAAGUUUGAGAGUAGAAGAAAAGGAGUAGGAAUGGAAGAGGCUGAGAGGGAGAGGAAGAAAGGAAGGGAGGGAGGAAGGGAGGAAAGAGGCAAUGCUACUGUUCCUUUUUUUAUUGCUGUUCAGCCCUCGAGAAGAUAAGUGCCUGUCAGCUUGGUAAGGCAGACAGCUAAACAGGAUUAGAAAAGUAAUCAAUGACAAGACAGGCACUAUAGAUUUCCCCUCCCUCUUACGCAUACAAAGAUGAAACCCAGCAACUCAUCUGUUUCCUACUUAGUGGCAAAGUCAGUUGUAAGGACUGAGCACUGUAAUGAUGAAAGAAAUAAGAGCGAAAUGAUAUGGUUUUGAGACUUGUUUAUUUAUUUUUAACUUUUUAAUUUUAAAUUUUACUUUCCAUUUGCAGUUAUUACAGAUGUUACCUAUACUUCUUGUUUUGUACAAUAAAUACAUCCUUGAGCCCAUCUUACACCCAGCAGCUUGUGCCUUCCACUCCCCCACUCUUAUAUGGUCUCCCCACUGCCCACGAGUAACCACUAGUUUGUUGUCUAUAUCUGUGAGUAGGCUUUUUUUGGUUGUUGUUGUAUUCACUAGUUUGUUGUACUUUUUAUAUUUCACAUAUGUAAUAUUAGGCAGUAUCUGUUAUUCUCUGACUUAUUUCACUUAGCAUUAUGCCCUCCGAGUCCAUCCAUAUUGCUGCAAAUGUCAAUUUUGUUCUUUUUAUGGCUAAUAUUCCAGUGUGUGUGUGUGUGUGUGCGCAAAUAUAUAUCCACAAUCUUUAUCCAUUCAUCUAUUGAUGGGCACUUAGGUUGCUUCAUGGCAAUUGUAAAUAAUGCUGCUAUGAACAUUGGGGUACAUGUAUCUUUUUUUUUUUUUUUUGCUUUUUAGGGCCACACCUGUAGCAUAUGGAGGUUCCUAGGCUCCAUAUCAGAGCUACAGCUGCCAGCCUAUGCCACAGCCACAGCAAUGUAGGAUCGGAGCCACGUCUAUGACCUGCACCACAAGCUCAUGGAAAUGCCAGAUCCUUAACCCACUGAGUGAGGACAGGGACUGAACCCACAACCUCAUGGUUCCUAGUUAGAUUUGUUUCUGCUGUGCCACAACAGGAACUCUAUAUCUUUUUUAAUUAAUGGUUUUUCAGAUAUAUACCCAGGAGUGGAAUUGCUGGGUCACAUGGUAGUUCCAUUUUUGGUAUUCCAAAGUGGCUAUGCCAAUCUGCAUUCCCACUAACAGUGUACAAGGGUUUCCUUUUCUCCAUAUCCUCACCAAUAUUUGUUAUUUAUGUACUUUUUGAGGCUAACCAUUCUGACAAGUGUGAGGUGAUAUCUCAUUGUAGUUUUGACUUGCAUUUCCAUGAUAAUUAGCAAUGUUGAGCAUUUUUUCUUGUCUUUUAGCCAUCUGCAUUUCCUCUUUGGAAAAAUGUUUUUUCAGUUCUUCCCAUUUUUUAAUUGUUGUUUUUUUUUUAUGUUGAGUUGUAUGAUCUGUUUAUAUAUGUUGGGUAUUAAUCCCUUGUUGAUCAUAGCACUUACAAACAUUUUAUCCCAUUCAGUAGAUUAUCUUUUCCCUUUUGUUAAUGAUUUCCUUCUUUGUGCAAACACUUUUAAGUUUAAUUAGGUCUCAUUUGUUUAUUUUUGCUUUUAUUUAUUUUAGGGGAUGGAUCCACAAAAAUAUUGCUGCAAUGCAUGUAGAAGAUUGUUCUGCUUAUAUUUUCCUCUAGGAGUUUUAUAGUAUCUGGUCUUACACUCCUAAGGGUGCAAUGACAACUGCAAUCUAGGCUAUUUGUCUGGAAUAAUAUCAUCUGACUUUGAUCCGAUUUUCAGAGAACUGUCCUUUUAAAAUGAUGUAUGAUUAGACUUGAUUAAUAGAUGCACUGACAUUUUAGGUGGAAGCAGUUUGCUUGCAGCCUGGCUGGGAGCUGCUCCUGGUCCUGAAUGCACACUCACACACUCAGGGCAGCUACAGAAAACUCACUGCAAAAUGUAAUAGACAGACAAUAAACUGAUGAAGGGCUAAUUAUCAGUUGGAGAGAACAAUCUUAUUGCAAAGGUGUUACAUAAUCCAUAGAUUCAAGGUGAACAGCUUCCUAGUUUCCAAGAUGAAUAAAAGGCUACACAUUCAUUUGAGGGGUAAAAUAAGUCUAAUAUUUUGUCUUUAUAAAAUACGUACUCUCCAUAAAGCUUGAAAAGAUUUCCAAGAGCCUCCAAACUGUUCUAGAAACAUUCGAAAAGAGAUCAUCUGAAAUUGUUUUUAUUCAUCAUGAAAUCCUAAAGCACUAUCAGAAUCCUUCAACUGGCAGAUAAUCCAAAUACCAACUUUUCAGGAAUGAUUGAGACCGUCUGAUAUGAAUUCCUUAAUUCUCUUCUUCACUUCCAAAUGUUAUUUCUUUAGAAGGAUUUAUGCACUCAAGAGCUCUGUUCCCAUGGGCUCUUGCGGUCUUCCCUGGCUUCUCCAGGACCAUGUUGUAUCAGUACAUACAUUAAAUAUUCCAACUCUCCCUUUCCUCUUCCUCCCUUUCCCCAAACUGCAGAGCUCCAAAUCUGUCUCUUCAGUUCCCCUUCCUCCUGAACCUGGUUAGCUUCUUCCUCUUACUGCAAAGCUUCUCAAAAGAGCCUUACUAUCUACUGCCGUCACUUUCUCUCCCUUUCUCUAUGUUGGCUCAUGUACUAUGGACACACUUCCCAUCUCUAACCAAUCUUCUUAUGAGGGUCACUGAUACUGUGCUAGAUUCAAUGGAUUUUUCUUAGGCCUCAUUCUGCUUGGCCACUAAAUUCCCUAAAGCCACAAUUUUUUUCUUUUGUUUGCCUUUUCUCAACUCUUUCUUCAGUUUAUAUUGACCUCUGCAGGGUCUCUCAUUAUUGACCAUAUCCUCCUUAAAACGUUUUCCUUCUUUGGCAUGCCUUCAUUCUGCAGUGGCCUAGUUCUCAUCCUUCUGAUUUCUUAUGACUCUGCUUUUUUAGCAUGCUCUUAUCUGCCCUGCAUCUAAAUAUGUGUUCUCCAGAGUUUACACCUUAACAUCUCAGGCUUCUCAUUAUGAUUUAUGUGCUAUCCCAUUAGAAAUGCCAUUUCCAUAGUUCUCAUAAUUAAGACUGUUGAAAUAAUUCCCAAAUAAAAUAUCUCAAGCCCUGAAACAUCUUUCAAACUCCAAACCAGACACACUGCUGUGUACAUUCCACAUAGUUGUAGAUAAAGCAUAAAAAUCAAAGCAUUUCAAUCAAAAGAUACCAUCUUACAUCUUAAUUUUAUGUCUCCUCCUUUCUGUGUUUCUGGUUCCAAUAAAUGACUACUUCAUCAUUUUAAUUUCUAAGAUUCCUAAGUGUUAUCAUCUAUUCCUCUCAUUUAUGACCAAUCCCCACCCUUAUAACUAUUGACUUAACUCUAAAAAAGUACAAGGAAUUCUCACAUACUAUCACAGAUGCAAUGAUCAUGUAUAAGCUCCCAAAGAUGCCUACAGGUUGAUGCGAGUCCUGACAACUCUGCCCACACAAUGACUUGUUCAUCCAUUUCUUUCAUUUUCACAAACUCCAAUUCAAACCCACAUAAACUCUAUUAUUGUCCAUUGUUACAGUCUCACAAGAGGCCUCACUCCUUCUACUCUCUUCUCAUAUCCAAAUGACCCUCUGCAUUGUUUCCAUAGUUACCAAUGCUAAAAGAAAUCUAAUCCAAAUAUUGGUCUGCUUCAAAAAAAAUCCCUCAGUGCCUCUCUACUGUACCUAAAACAAAAUCCAUUCUCUGUCUAGAACUUAAAUCUUAGCACAAUGUAUUUGUAUAUCUGGUCUGUGCCUGACCAGAUUAUCGAGUAUAUAUGUGCCUAGGCACAAUUUGGAUGCUAGGGGUACACAGAUCAUGCCUGUAUGAGAUUAAAUUGAGCAUCACAAAGCCACAGAUGAUUUUAAACACAACAUAACCCCCCCCCAAAAGCAGGACUCUUAUGGAGUAAUUUUUUAGGUCAAGAAGUUGACAAUAAUUCAAAAGUAAUUUCAGUCUGUACAUGUUUUUACAAAACAUUAUCAGAAAUUCAAUUUAUAUCCUACAGCAACAUUCCACCAAAAAAAAAAGUUUCUCUCCUGUUCAUUAAAAUUCUUCCUUUCUCUGUAAAUGCUAUAAAGCCCAUUAUUUCUUAAUUUAUUUUAUACUUAAAAAUUCCUCCCCAGUCUAACCAGAUAGCAAAGUCAAAGGACAUGGCAUUUGAGACAGAUGACAGGAUAGAAAUGGAAGUCAAACAAUGGUGGGACCUCAGCCAUAAGACAGAGUGCGGAACAAAACUCCAGCUUUGGAGCUACAGACUAACAUGGAGAAGAUAAAGCAGUCAGACUCCUGGCCUGGGCACAGAUCCAGUCUUGAAAGGGAAUUGAGAGAGACAUUAAGAAUAGUGGACAAUUUAGCAAUAGAGACCAAUGAAGUACCCACCCACACAGGUGUGUAUGUGUGUGUGUACACACAUGUAUGGAUUUAUAGGCAGAAGGAGUAAUUUAGAGAGUAGCAAUAGUUGGUAGCAGAGAAGACAAAAAUGAUGAGAGGCACAUGGAGGCUAUGUAUGUGGACAUGUCACUUUGGAGAGCUGGAGAUUUCUGAUGUAUCAGGUCAUUAAGGAGGCCAGUCAUUCUGAACUAAUCUCCUGGAUCCCAGAUAUGGGUAGCUGCUAAGUGUAGGCCUUCUUAGUAGAGGACUAGGAUGCCAAUUUCCUUGAGUUAACUUCCUCUUUAGAAAGGAUGGGUCCAAAAAUUCAAAUGAAGAUUGAAUCUCAUUCUUACUGCUUACAAAUGAAGCCAACAGUGAGUUCUAAGGGUAGAAAGAGGCAGAGAAAACUAUGGGCUGAUAUCUGCUACCUUUCCAGCAUUAUUUCCCAUUGCCUAUUUCUUAAUGUUCUUUUCAAUUUUGGGGAUGUCCCUCAGGGGCACAGGAUUAUCCAAUAUAUAAUUAUAGUUAUUUGUUCACAAUGUGCCAUUAUCAUUGUAUAAUGAACCUCCUUUAUCUUGCUUUAUUUGUUUACUAUUUUAUGAACUUAAUUUUUUAUUUUAUAAUAUAUGUAUGUAUAUUUAAACAGUAUAUUAUUUGAUGCUACCUAUUUAUCAAUUUUUAAAAAGGGAACAAUAUUGUUAAAAGUCCUCAAUGGCUUAUCUUUUUUGUUCCAUGUUAUGCUACAAAAAUUUAUCCAUAUUCUUAUGUUUAGAUAUAUAUUAUUUAUUUUCAUAGUUGUAUGCAAAUCUAUUGUGUACGUGGACAGUUCAAGCCUCCUGAAAAACCACUCUCUGUGCACAAACGCACCCAGCUUCUUUGCUUUGACUGAAGCUGUUCUUCUACCUUUUGUCCAAGACCAUAAGAUGUCAUAAAUGUUAGGAAUUAGCAGACAAGGGCAUGAAAACGUCUAUUCUAAAUAUAUUUAAAGAUUUAAGGAGUUCCUGUCAUGGCUCAGUGGUUAACGAAUCUGCCUAGGAACCAUGAGGUUGCAGGUUCGGUCCCUGCCCUUGCUCAAUGGGUUAAUGAUCCGGCGUUGCCGUGGGCUGUGGUGUAGGUUGCAGACGCGGCUCGGAUCCCUCAUUGCUGUGGCUCUGGCGUAAGCUGGUGGCUACAGCUCCGAUUCAACCCCUAGCCUGGGAACCUCCAUAUGCCGUGGGAGCGGCUCAAGAAAUGGCAAAAAGACAAAAAAAAAAAAAAA
Molecule: long non-coding RNA, 6496 nt
Filed under: Sus scrofa (pig)
Lineage: Eukaryota; Metazoa; Chordata; Mammalia; Artiodactyla; Suidae
Description: lncRNA (ENSSSCG00015061636.1)
Source: RNAcentral